This 343-nucleotide ribosomal RNA is filed under the name uncultured eukaryote. RNAcentral describes it as "partial 18S ribosomal RNA". It matches the Rfam family "Eukaryotic small subunit ribosomal RNA", at positions 1470 to 1796 of the family's 1831-position model. The record is from RNAcentral.
CCCUUAGAUGUUCUGGGCGGCCCGCGCACUACAAUGGCGCUUUCAGCGAGUUCCUAUGUUGAAUUUUCCUUGGUAUUCUUGGAAGCGGCGUCUUGACUUGGGAUAGAUCCUUGUAAUUGUUGGUUUUGAACGAGGAAUUCCUUGUAAUCGCGGUUGAUCAGCUCGCGUUGAAUACGUCCCUGCCCUUUGUACACACCGCCCGUCGCUCCUACCGAUCGAACGAUUUUGCGAGGUAUCUGGACUGGCAUCUGCCUGGAAGGCCGUUCUUCGGGAUGGUUCGAAGGGUGUGCUUGCCGGGAAAGGGCCCAAGCAUGGUCGUUUAGAGGAAGUAAAAGUCGUAACA